RNAcentral lists this ribosomal RNA (468 nucleotides) under uncultured bacterium. Its description in RNAcentral is "partial 16S ribosomal RNA". It matches the Rfam family "Bacterial small subunit ribosomal RNA", at positions 28 to 507 of the family's 1533-position model. The record is from RNAcentral.
GACGAACGCUGGCGGCGUGCUUAACACAUGCAAGUCGAACGGAAAGGCCCUGCUUUUGUGGGGUGCUCUAGUGGCGAACGGGUGAGUAACACGUGAGUAACCUGCCCUUGACUUUGGGAUAACUUCAGGAAACUGGGGCUAAUACCGGAUAGGAGCUCCUGCUGCAUGGUGGGGGUUGGAAAGUUUCGGUGGUUGGGGAUGGACUCUCGGCUUAUCAGCUUGUUGGUGUGGUAGUGGCUUACCAAGGGUUUGACGGGUAGCCGGCCUGAGAGGGUGAACGGGUAGGAUGGGAAUAAGUUGCGGCCCAGACUCCGACCGGACGCAGCAGUGUGGAAUAUUUAAGAGUGAGCGGAAGCCUAAUGCAGCAACGCCGCGGGCGGGAUGAUAACAGUCGGGUGGUAAACCGCUUUGGCCUGUGACGAAGAGUGAGUGACGGUAAUGGGUAAAGAAGCAAAGGCUAACUACGUG